RNAcentral lists this ribosomal RNA (301 nucleotides) under uncultured bacterium. Its description in RNAcentral is "partial 16S ribosomal RNA". It matches the Rfam family "Bacterial small subunit ribosomal RNA", at positions 509 to 807 of the family's 1533-position model. The record is from RNAcentral.
CAGUAGCCGCGGUAAUACAGAGGGUGCGAGCGUUAAUCGGAUUUACUGGGCGUAAAGCGUGCGUAGGCGGCUAAUUGAGUCGGAUGUGAAAUCCCCGAGCUUAACUUGGGAAUUGCAUUCGAUACUGGUUAGCUAGAGUGUGGGAGAGGAUGGUAGAAUUCCAGGUGUAGCGUUGAAAUGCGUAGAGAUCUGGAGGAAUACCGAUGGCGAAGGCAGCCAUCUGGCCUAACACUGACGCUGAGGUACGAAAGCAUGGGGAGCAAACAGGAUUAGAUACCCGCGUAGUCCCUGUCUCUUAUAC